GAUGAAGAACGUAGCGAAAUGCGACAAGUAAUGUGAAUUGCAGAAUUCCGUGAAUCAUCGAAUCUUUGAACGCACAUUGCGCCCCUUGGUAUUCCGAGGGGCAUGCCUGUUCGAGCGUCAUUAUAACCCCUCAAGCUCAGCUUGGUGUUGGGGCCUGCUGCACUGGCAGCCCUUAAAAUCAGUGGCGGCGCCAUCUGGCUCUAAGCGUAGUAAUUCUUCUCGCUAUGGAGUCCUGGUGGAUGCUUGCCAUCAACCCCCAAUUUUUCUAUGGUUGACCUCGGAUCAGGUAGGGAUACCCGCUGAACUUAAGCAUAUCAAUAAGCGGAGGA
Molecule: unclassified non-coding RNA, 329 nt
Filed under: soil metagenome
Description: partial contains 5.8S ribosomal RNA, internal transcribed spacer 2, and large subunit ribosomal RNA
Rfam family: 5.8S ribosomal RNA (bases 1-120)
Source: RNAcentral